UCAUUAUUCUGUGCGGCCGAGCUAAUGCGAGGCGCACUUGGGGAGGAAAGUCCGAGCACCAGAGAGCAGGAUGGUUUCUAACGGAAACCGGGUAUAACUGACAGUGCUAUGCACUGGAACUCCUAAAUUCAAAGCUCUAAACCCUAAGCAGAUCUCAAAAUCCAAAGGUUUUAAACAUUGGGAUUUGAAAAAUGGUUUAGAAAUUAGAAGUUGAGUAUUAGAAAUUCCAGCGUGUAGCGCUGUCAAGAAGCCUAGGGAAAGUGCCACAGAGACUAUACCGCCAAUGUGCGUCUCACGUUGGUUCGACGAAGAAUAAAGAAGUAAGAAUAAAGUAUUAAGGGUUAAUUCUUCUUAAUUCAUAAUUCUAAAUUAUUGAUUCUGUAAGCCGAGCUAACGCGAGGUGCACGUGGGUAAGGGUGAAAAGUGAGGAAUUAAGACUCCUCUCUCCUCAUGGUGACAUGAAGGAGUGGUAAACCCCAUCCGGUGCAAGGCCGGUGGACCAAGUUAGCUAAUUAUCUGCUCGAUAAGGCUAAUACGGCCCGGCUGCUUGAGCCAAAUGGCAACAUUUGGUCUAGAUAGAUGAUCAUUAAAACUGAACUCGGCUUAUAGGCAGACUGAGUAU
Molecule: RNase P RNA, 622 nt
Filed under: candidate division CPR2 bacterium GWD2_39_7
Lineage: Bacteria; candidate division CPR2
Also listed under: 1 other name
Description: RNase P RNA component class A
Rfam family: Bacterial RNase P class A
About the family: Ribonuclease P (RNase P) is a ubiquitous endoribonuclease, found in archaea, bacteria and eukarya as well as chloroplasts and mitochondria. Its best characterised activity is the generation of mature 5'-ends of tRNAs by cleaving the 5'-leader elements of precursor-tRNAs.
Source: RNAcentral